GGAUAGCGCAGUUGGUAGAGCAGAAGACUCUUAAUCUUAUGGUCGUGGGUUUGAGCCCCAUGUUGGGCAACA
This is a non-coding RNA of Podarcis lilfordi (Lilford's wall lizard), 72 nucleotides long. Lineage: Eukaryota; Metazoa; Chordata; Lepidosauria; Squamata; Lacertidae. The record is from the annotation of a GenBank genome assembly.